UGCAUUUGGUUGCUCUCUACAGUAAGUAAUUUUGGCCUUACAGAAAGUCAUUUGGCCACAGUGAAGUAGCCUUUAACUGUGUUUUACUUGGAAAAGUUUAUUUAAUCGUUAUCCUCUGCACAUACUCUUAGAACAUGUCCAUAUAACAAAAUUGUAGUUGAGGGAGGAAAGUAGAAUUGUGAAUUUAAAAAAAAAAUACUUAUGGUAAUGAUCCUUUUGGCUUCCUGCCUCUAUAUAGAAGCUGGAACCACUUAACCCCAACCUACAGGUCCAGCCCUGACAUGACUGGAACUCAUCUUGACCUUGGGUAAGGGGAAUUCAGGGAGCUGUAGACCAGGAGUUCAUCAGCCAAGCGUGAAGUCCCCUUGGCCCCUGGACAAACUCUUCUCUCAUUUCUCGAGGCUGGGCUCAAGGUUGAUUUCACAGGACAAGGCUUUAACUCCUAGUCCAGUUUAAUGUGUUUCAUCCUGCCCAUGUGCCCAAGUACAACUCAUUGCCUUGUUUUCCUGUAUAGUACCCCUAUUCUGGGCACCCUACAACAGGUUCUCUUAGAGUCCUGCCAGCUCUCCCAUUUCUGGGGCUCAAGACUGGAGAUUCAUGUGAUCUACUGUGUUUACCAGAUGCCCUCCAUCUUGGAUCUCUACCCAUGUCUGUUGCUAGACAGCCGUGGAGCCCUAUUUCACAUUGUUGCUUAGUUAUCCACCAGUCAGCUACUCUUGGACUUCCUUAGAAGCCCAAACUUUUUACAGAUCAGCCCCUGGUGAUUGGUCAAAACUCCAGGUUCCGGCCAGUUCUGCUCUAGCUGGUCUCUCUCAUAACCUUUUGAACUGGGCAGAGAUGCUAGCACAACGGGUAAAGAAAGAUGAAAAAAAAAAGCAACAAAACUAUAAUCAAGAUUGUUGGAAUCUUCAAUAGGCUUCCUUCCACAUAUCCCUUGCCUUCAUUACCUUAUAUUAACAUUCUCAAGUUCUUCAGUAUUCAUUAUCUUAUAUUAACAUUCUUAAGUUCUUGAGUAUUUUUGGAACUAUCCAGUCUCUAGUGGUUAUGCCAGUCAUUGUGUCUACCAGAGCUAUGGGAAUUUUGUCUCCAGCUUUCCAGUCUACUCCCAGUGACAGCCCGGCAGAAAAAGAUUUAUAAUCUCAAACCCAACAAGGAACAUCAAUGAAUGUUUUAUAAAUUCAGUAGUCAUUUGCAACAGUCAGUGACAGAGGCAAGCUGGCUAAUUUCAAAAGGGAGUAUCCCCCUAGUCUGAUAUGUGGGCAUUUGGAGGAGUGGGGAAGGCCUUGUCCUGAGGCUCCUCUGUGUACUGUAAAGAAAUAGAGCCCACAGCAUGUGCUCUAGAAUCAGACCACGCCAGCUUCCUCCUAAUAAGCUGCCUCUGCAUUCCUAAUGUGGAAACGAACAUGAAGCUUCACAGCAAGUUAUUAUCUUAGAGAAGGCCCACCUGGAUGAUAUCAGUUUUCACUGCCAGACCCUCUUAAUAAUUGGCCUUUGACACAUAUCCAGGUGUCGUCUUAGAUCAUAAACACCUAAGUAGCUGUAGGAACAGUGAUUUGAAUAGCAGCCCUUUGCAAAUUUCCAUCUUAAAACUUUUAAGUAAAUCGUUCUUAAGCCUGACUGCAAUUGGAAUCACUUGGAAAGCUUAAAAAUAAAAUGCCCAAGUUUCACCCACCAACCUGUUGAGUUCAAUUAGUCUGAUGUGAGGGUACACAUGACAUCUCGAUUAGGAGAGGUUCAGGGAUUGCUAAUAUUCCACCAGAAUAGAAGACACUUCUUUACAUCUUCAGACAGCGAAAUACCAGCACAACCAUUACUCUGCUGAGCAAUGGGAAACCCAAAAGGAGUAUAUACUUUCAUCUUCACCCAAGGUCAGUUUCUUAUGCCUGUAAGAUCAGCGCUUUCUCCUCUGGUCAGCUGACAGAACAGCCUCACCUACUCUAAGUCACAACCUUCUCUGAGGACCUAAGCUGUAUAAUUAAGGCACAAGUACAAGUCUUUGGGCUUUCAAGGCAAAGUUCCCUUAAGUCCCAACUCACCCUUGCUAACUACCUCUCUGAUUUAUGGAAACCAGGCUCUUCCUUUGCUGGUCACCAGAAGCCUGACUUAUUCAGAACCACUGAAACCCAUCCUGUCCCCUCUCUUUUUACUGUCUGCUUCUAUUCUUUGAUAAGCUGCUGAAACAUACUGCUGUGAAAACUGCUAGUAAUUGGGCACAGUUAGAUUAAGGAAACCCUUCAGGUAGCCUCAAGGUCAAAAAACUGCUUCUUAUGCCAAGAUCCUCCCAAUGACAACAUCCUUUAGAGGAGAGACCAGUUUUUCCUUCUUCCCUGCUACCAGUUUCAACUCCAGUCUGUUGGAAGCUUGACUUCCAGGUCCUGGAAAGCCAGAAGCCAGAAAAAGAUUUAUUACACAUUAGUUCAGAGAAAUAGAAGUGAAAUCUUCUAAGAACUAGAAAAAUUUUCACCGAUUAUUUCCUCAUCCUUCCUCUGCCCAUAUUUUUCUUUGAUGAUGUAACAAAUGCCCUGCACAGUAGUUCAAGCAGCCUUAUAUCACUGGCUUGUAACCUGUUUAUAGAAUAACUGGAGAAUUCUUAUAAAUUCCUGGGCCCUGACAAUAUCUAAUACUUGCAUGGCACAUUAUGGUUUAGAUAACACUUCACAUGCAUUAUCUCAUUUAAUCUUCAUGGGGAAAGUGGCUGACUCAUACAUAUAUAAAGAAAGAGAGCCGAACUUAACUACAGAAUAUAGUUGACAGCACAAAAUAAAGUGACACUAAGUGAGGUACCACGCAGGAACUGCAUAGGUUUCUGUUGUAAUCCUCUCCUGAAUGUGUCCAUUGCUUAUAUAAUGCCAUUCAGUACAAGAUAGUUACCAUAUUAUUUCCCUCCUUAUCUCUUGGUACAAAUAGUGCACAAAGUAGGAAGAUUAGCUGAGUGAUGCUUAAAAUCUCUUCUAGUUAUAUCUCUUCUUUGUUAGCCUUCUUUACACAUUAUCUAAGCAUAACUUUGGAAGUUCUUGAAUUAUUUUUUCCCUAGGAAACUGCAUGUCUUCCAGUAUAUCAUUGGUUGAAAAAGGCACAAACAAAAAACUUAAUUUGAUAUUAAACUUAAGUACAGUGCAGCAUUAUAGAUCCCUCCCUUCUGUUUCUAGCUCUCAUGUGGUUUUCUCAGCAGCUGUAUGAGCACUGAUUUAGUCUGGGAUGUAAACAGUGCACCUUUAAGGUAACCUGUGCGCUUCCGUUAUUUUGUUUUCUGGAAGCCUAUGAGAAGGUUAACGUAGUUCAUUAAGGUUUGCAUAACUUCUUAUGUUUGAUGACUCAUUCACAAAAAUGAAAAGCAGGACUUAGGAUUUGUUAACCAGAAUUAUGUAAACCGUAUAUCUAGCAUAUCUGGGUUAAAAUCCCAACUCUUUAACAUUUUACUAGCUCUACAUUCUUGUGGAAGUCUUUGAGUUAUAGUUCCCUCUUUUGUAGAACCGAAAGAAUACUACCCAUCCCAU
This 3497-nucleotide long non-coding RNA is filed under the name Homo sapiens (human). RNAcentral describes it as "non-protein coding lnc-RGMA-23:1". Lineage: Eukaryota; Metazoa; Chordata; Mammalia; Primates; Hominidae. The record is from RNAcentral.